This 813-nucleotide ribosomal RNA is filed under the name uncultured bacterium. RNAcentral describes it as "bacterial SSU rRNA". It matches the Rfam family "Bacterial small subunit ribosomal RNA", at positions 56 to 917 of the family's 1533-position model. The record is from RNAcentral.
UGCAAGUCGAACGAAGUAGCAAUACUUAGUGGCGAACGGGUGAGUAUAAUGUGGGUAUCUGCCUUUUGGUUUGGAAUAACACGAGGAAACUUGUGCUAAUACCGGAUAAGCCUUUACAGGGAAAGUUUUAACGCCAAAAGAUGAGCCCACACUUGAUUAGCUAGUUGGUAAGGUAAAAGCUUACCAAGGCUACGAUCAAUAGCUGAUCUGAGAGGAUGAUCAGCCACAUUGGGACUGAGACACGGCCCAAACUCCUACGGGAGGCAGCAGUGGGGAAUCUUGCACAAUGGGGGAAACCCUGAUGCAGCGAUGCCGCGUGAGUGAAGAAGGCCUUUGGGUUGUAAAGCUCUUUCGUCGGGGAAGAAAAUGACUGUACCCGAAUAAGAAGGUCCGGCUAACUUCGUGCCAGCAGCCGCGGUAAUACGAAGGGACCUAGCGUAGUUCGGAAUUACUGGGCUUAAAGAGCUCGUAGGUGGUUAGAAAAGUUGGUGGUGAAAUCCCAAGGCUUAACCUUGGAACUGCCAUCAAAACUUUUUAACUAGAGUAUGAUAGAGGUAAGUGGAAUUUCUAGUGUAGAGGUGAAAUUCGUAGAUAUUAGAAAGAACACCGAUUGCGAAGGCAACUUUCUGGAUCAUUACUGACACUGAGGAGCGAAAGCAUGGGUAGCGAAGAGGAUUAGAUACCCUCGUAGUCCAUGCCGUAAACGAUGUGUGCUAGACGUUGGAAAUUUAUUUUCAGUGUCGCAGCAAAAGCGUUAAGCACACCGCCUGGGGGAGUACGACCGCAAGGUUAAAACUCAAAUGAAUUGACGGG